AACGAACGCUGGCGGCAGGCCUAACACAUGCAAGUCGAGCGGACCCUUCGGGGUUAGCGGCGGACGGGUGAGUAACGCGUGGGAAUAUGCCCUUCUCUACGGAAUAGUCCUGGGAAACUGGGGGUAAUACCGUAUACGCCCUUUGGGGGAAAGAUUUAUCGGGGAAGGAUUAGCCCGCGUUGGAUUAGGUAGUUGGUGGGGUAAUGGCCUACCAAGCCGACGAUCCAUAGCUGGUUUGAGAGGAUGAUCAGCCACACUGGGACUGAGACACGGCCCAGACUCCUACGGGAGGCAGCAGUGGGGAAUCUUAGACAAUGGGGGCAACCCUGAUCUAGCCAUGCCGCGUGAGUGAUGAAGGCCUUAGGGUUGUAAAGCUCUUUCAGCUGGGAAGAUAAUGACGUUACCAGCAGAAGAAGCCCCGGCUAACUCCGUG
This 433-nucleotide ribosomal RNA is filed under the name uncultured bacterium. RNAcentral describes it as "partial 16S ribosomal RNA". It matches the Rfam family "Bacterial small subunit ribosomal RNA", at positions 29 to 507 of the family's 1533-position model. The record is from RNAcentral.